RNAcentral lists this small nuclear RNA (91 nucleotides) under Phaethon lepturus (White-tailed tropicbird). Its description in RNAcentral is "U5 spliceosomal RNA". It matches the Rfam family "U5 spliceosomal RNA", at positions 25 to 117 of the family's 117-position model. From Rfam's summary of the family: U5 RNA is a component of both types of known spliceosome. The precise function of this molecule is unknown, though it is known that the 5' loop is required for splice site selection and p220 binding, and that both the 3' stem-loop and the Sm site are important for Sm protein binding and cap methylation. The record is from Rfam by way of RNAcentral. Lineage: Eukaryota; Metazoa; Chordata; Aves; Phaethontiformes; Phaethontidae.
UAUAAAUCUUUCGCCUUUUACUAAAGAUUUCCGUGGAGAGAAACAAACACGAGUGUCGAGGAAUUUUUUGAGGCUCCAUUUCAGUGGAGCU